UCCCAGACUCCUAGGGAGGCAGCAGUGGGGGAUAUUGCACAAUGGGGGAAACCCUGAUGCAGCGACGCCGCGUGGGUGAAGAAGCGCCUCGGCGCGUAAAGCCCUGUCAGCAGGGAAGAAAAUGACGGUACCUGACUAAGAAGCCCCGGCUAACUACGUGCCAGCAGCCGCGGUAAUACGUAGAGGGCAAGCGUUAUCCGGAUUUACUGGGUGUAAAGGGAGCGUAGACGGAAUAGCAAGUCUGAUGUGAAAACCCGGGGCUCAACUCCGGGAGUGCAUUGGAAACUGUUGAUCUAGAGUGUCGGAGAGGCAAGCGGAAUUCCUAGUGUAGCGGUGAAAUGCGUAGAUAUUAGGAGGAACACCAGUGGCGAAGGCGGCUUGCUGGACGAUGACUGACGUUGAGGCUCGAAAGCGUGGGGAGCAAACAGGAUUAGAUACCCCCGUACU
Molecule: ribosomal RNA, 447 nt
Filed under: uncultured bacterium
Lineage: Bacteria
Description: bacterial SSU rRNA
Rfam family: Bacterial small subunit ribosomal RNA
Source: RNAcentral